AGCUCUCAGGCACAGCUGGCUAUUCUGGUCUCAGAAGAAAAGAGAAGAGGCUUUCUGAAGGUCUGGUAGAGAGGAGAGAAGGAACUUGGAAUACAGCUGAAAGGUGGUGUAGCGAAACAGCAGCAGCAGUCCUACCGAGAAAGGACCCAGACGACGUCUCCGCUGGUUAGAGCUUGUCUCUAGAAGAUGGUGAGCCACGGCACCAAGGGGAUGAGGAGUGCCUUGGGUUCCUGCGCCUUCCUUCAGUCUUCAGUCCUCCAGAAGCACUAUAAAGAGGGCUGAAGAACAAGCUUGCUUGGUCCCGGACGCUGUUGUCUUGAAGAUUCCGUCUGUCCCACCAGGACUUUAGGGAGGCAGUUUCAGCAACAGAGAAGGAAGCAGGACUUAAGGACGUCUCUACAUUGGUCGUGUGCCUAGUUACAUUUUGA
Molecule: long non-coding RNA, 428 nt
Filed under: Rattus norvegicus (Norway rat)
Lineage: Eukaryota; Metazoa; Chordata; Mammalia; Rodentia; Muridae
Description: long non-coding RNA NONRATT010240
Source: RNAcentral